UACGGAGGUGGCAAGCGUUGCUCGGAAUCACUGGGCGUAAAGGGCGCGUAGGCGGGGAGGUAAGUCGGGGGUGAAAUCCCUCGGCCCAACCGAGGAACUGCGCCCGAGACUGCUUCUCUUGAGUUCCGGAGAGGAAGAUGGAAUUCCCGGUGUAGCGGUGAAAUGUGUAGAGAUCGGGAGGAACACCGGUGGCGAAGGCGGUCUUCUGGACGGUGACUGACGCUGAGGCGCGAAAGCGUGGGGAGCAAACGGG
RNAcentral lists this ribosomal RNA (253 nucleotides) under uncultured bacterium. RNAcentral describes it as "partial 16S ribosomal RNA". It matches the Rfam family "Bacterial small subunit ribosomal RNA", at positions 524 to 776 of the family's 1533-position model. The record is from RNAcentral.